GAUGAAGAACGUAGCGAAAUGCGAUAAGUAAUGCGAAUUGCAGAAUUCAGUGAGUCAUCGAAUCUUUGAACGCACAUUGCGCCCUUUGGUAUUCCGAAGGGCAUGCCUGUUCGAGCGUCAUUAUCACCCCUCAAGCCCCCGGCUUGGUGUUGGACGGUUUGGCGGAGGCCCUCCGGGGCCCUUGCCCCUCCCAAAGACAAUGACGGCGGCCUCGUUGGACCCCCGGUACACUGAGUUCUUUACGGGACACGUACUGGAGUAAGGGUGCGCGGGGCACGGUCUGCCUCCCCUCAGGGAGAAUCUUUUUUUACAAGGUUGACCUCGGAUCAGGUAGGGAUACCCGCUGAACUUAAGCAUAUCAAUAAGCGGAGGA
Molecule: unclassified non-coding RNA, 373 nt
Filed under: soil metagenome
Description: partial contains 5.8S ribosomal RNA, internal transcribed spacer 2, and large subunit ribosomal RNA
Rfam family: 5.8S ribosomal RNA (bases 1-120)
Source: RNAcentral